CGGGCAAUGGCCGGCAGGCUACACAUGCAGUCGAACGGUAGCACAGAGGAGCUUGCUCCUUGGGUGACGAGUGGCGGACGGGUGAGUAAUGUCUGGGAAACUGCCCGAUGGAGGGGGAUAACUACUGGAAACGGUAGCUAAUACCGCAUAACGUCGCAAGACCAAAGAGGGGGACCUUCGGGCCUCUUGCCAUCGGAUGUGCCCAGAUGGGAUUAGCUAGUAGGUGGGGUAACGGCUCACCUAGGCGACGAUCCCUAGCUGGUCUGAGAGGAUGACCAGCCACACUGGAACUGAGACACGGUCCAGACUCCUACGGGAGGCAGCAGUGGGGAAUAUUGCACAAUGGGCGCAAGCCUGAUGCAGCCAUGCCGCGUGUAUGAAGAAGGCCUUCGGGUUGUAAAGUACUUUCAGCGAGGAGGAAGGUGUUGUGGUUAAUAACCGCAGCAAUUGACGUUACUCGCAGAAGAAGCACCGGCUAACUCUGUGCCAGCAGCCGCA
RNAcentral lists this ribosomal RNA (498 nucleotides) under Citrobacter freundii. RNAcentral's name for it is "bacterial SSU rRNA". It matches the Rfam family "Bacterial small subunit ribosomal RNA", at positions 37 to 519 of the family's 1533-position model. The record is from RNAcentral. Lineage: Bacteria; Pseudomonadati; Pseudomonadota; Gammaproteobacteria; Enterobacterales; Enterobacteriaceae.